UGAUGAAUACCAACGGCUCUGAU
This 23-nucleotide non-coding RNA is filed under the name Cricetulus griseus (Chinese hamster). Lineage: Eukaryota; Metazoa; Chordata; Mammalia; Rodentia; Cricetidae. The record is from RNAcentral.